This 934-nucleotide ribosomal RNA is filed under the name Bacillus subtilis. Its description in RNAcentral is "bacterial SSU rRNA". It matches the Rfam family "Bacterial small subunit ribosomal RNA", at positions 32 to 948 of the family's 1533-position model. The record is from RNAcentral. Lineage: Bacteria; Bacillati; Bacillota; Bacilli; Caryophanales; Bacillaceae.
AACACCGUGCUGCAUCUAUAAUGCAGUCGAGCGAUGGAUUAAGAGCUUGCUCUUAUGAAGUUAGCGGCGGACGGGUGAGUAACACGUGGGUAACCUGCCCAUAAGACUGGGAUAACUCCGGGAAACCGGGGCUAAUACCGGAUAACAUUUUGAACCGCAUGGUUCGAAAUUGAAAGGCGGCUUCGGCUGUCACUUAUGGAUGGACCCGCGUCGCAUUAGCUAGUUGGUGAGGUAACGGCUCACCAAGGCAACGAUGCGUAGCCGACCUGAGAGGGUGAUCGGCCACACUGGGACUGAGACACGGCCCAGACUCCUACGGGAGGCAGCAGUAGGGAAUCUUCCGCAAUGGACGAAAGUCUGACGGAGCAACGCCGCGUGAGUGAUGAAGGCUUUCGGGUCGUAAAACUCUGUUGUUAGGGAAGAACAAGUGCUAGUUGAAUAAGCUGGCACCUUGACGGUACCUAACCAGAAAGCCACGGCUAACUACGUGCCAGCAGCCGCGGUAAUACGUAGGUGGCAAGCGUUAUCCGGAAUUAUUGGGCGUAAAGCGCGCGCAGGUGGUUUCUUAAGUCUGAUGUGAAAGCCCACGGCUCAACCGUGGAGGGUCAUUGGAAACUGGGAGACUUGAGUGCAGAAGAGGAAAGUGGAAUUCCAUGUGUAGCGGUGAAAUGCGUAGAGAUAUGGAGGAACACCAGUGGCGGACGCGACUUUCUGGUCUGUAACUGACACUGAGCGCGAAAGCGUGGGGAGCAAACAGGAUUAGAUACUCUGGUAGUCCCACGCCGUAAACGAUGAGUGCUAAGUGUUAGAGGGUUUCUGCCUCUUUUAGUGCUGAAGUUAACGCAUUAAGCACUCCGUCUGGGGAGUACGGCCGCAAGGCUGAAACUCAAAGGAAUUGACGGGGGCCCGCACAAGCGGUGGAGCAUGUGGUUUA